Molecule: long non-coding RNA, 9428 nt
Filed under: Brassica napus (rape)
Lineage: Eukaryota; Viridiplantae; Streptophyta; Magnoliopsida; Brassicales; Brassicaceae
Description: long non-coding RNA (BNAP_LNC018972)
Source: RNAcentral
UAUGAAGCGAGAGAUUAGAGAACACGAGGUGUUAGAGACACCUUUAGUUUCAUUCCAGGCGGUGAGUAAACCCAAGGUAGCACGUGUGGAUAAUGAUGAUGAACAUGAUAGGUCUGAUGAAGAAGAAGUUGCUGAAGAGAAUCUUGAACCUCUGAAAAGUUCAGUAUCAUCCUCAGAUGAGGAAAGGAUUGAUAGAAUCCGUAGGCUGGAGCUGAAGCUUCUAGGUAGAGAAAAGCUUUUGGGUGGAGGAGCUGGCUCUGAUAAACCUGAAGCAAAAACUGGUGGUAGAGUGGAAGGAGAGACGAAGAAGAAGGAGAAGAAGAAGAAGAAAAAGGUUCUUGUGAAAGGGAAGAAGUCCUCGACCAUAGAGAUUCCUGGAUCUUCAAAGAGGUAAAAAAAAAAGCAUGCAGCAAUCUUUGUGGUUAAAAAAAGAGUAACGAUGGUAGAUUCUUUGUUUUACUUGACCGAUUGAUUUCUGUAAUUACGAUUUUCACAGGUUAAAGAUGAAGGAGAAGGCUCUGUUAACUGGGGUCUUAGUCAAGUAUGCGGCAAAAGUUGCUUCAACCUCAAAUGAUGAAUGAUCAUUAGGAGAGUGAAUCUUUCAAGUGUUUAGUCUGUCUCAUCAGUUCUUCUUUUGACGUUUCAAUUCAUGGAUAUUGUCUUAGGAACAUGCUCAAGCAAACUUGGGUACAUAUCUCUAUGGUUUAGAAUCCUUUUGGACCCUUAGCUCUUAUGCGGUUUGUGCUUUAUUAUUGAUAUGUUGAAAGUUAAGUGAAGCAAGUGUGGGUUAAAAACAGAAACUGAGAGAUACAUGUGGGUUUGUUGUUCCUUAUCAGUUAUCACAUACAAAAUUUAAACAAUGUCGGAAUAAUCUUUCCUCUUCAACCUAUUAAACAGUCUUAUGGGGUUCAUCUCCCUCGGCUGCAGAACCACCACCACCAUUUUGGUCUUGACAAUCUUCUCACCUUAUUUUGACAAUCCCACUUUCAGAAUCGAAGAAGAUUCUAACGAGCUACCGAAUUUUUGAGGUCCCUCAAGUUAAAAAAAAUGUUGAUAGAAUUAAACACACACAAGUUGGAGUUGCUUCAGGAAGCUUGGUAUAAGAAAAACAAAGGGAGAAGCUUCAUUCUAAUUAGUAAUUUUCUGAAUAUUUCUGCUUCUGCGACAAUUGAGAAUAGUCAAAGACCUAUAAACUAUAGCAAGCCAACGCAUAUUGGGCCUCCUGCGAGGACAUGUUGGGCCCUUUGAACAACUAAAAGAUAAUGUCACUGAAGUAAAGCUAAUACCGAGAUGUUUGCUUGGCUUUCCUUUUCUCUUGCAGAAUCACAAGCAUUUGAAUCUCCCAAAAUCACAUAUCACCCCUAGAAACAUGUCGACAAUGGUCUUGAGAUGGACUACCACACUGAUAUCGAGUUUGAGUUUGCACUUGUUGUCGCAGGAACGAGUUUAAACAAACUGACUACAACAACUACAUUGUCCGCAUUUGGCUGAUUAAUUCAAUUUCGAACCAUAUACUGUUAAGACAUCUAUGUAUGUCUUCUACUUUUCUUGAGUGGUGGAAACUAGUCUCAUCCUAAAAGAUUUCAGACACAAAGAUCAACCAAAACUAGUUGAGGAGCGAAAGCCAAAUAUGAGUCAAGACCAAAGCCAUAAAAAAACAAGACUAAAACUAGAACACAACAGUUCCCAAACAUUGAUGUACUUCCACCAAUUAUAGCAAUGAGACAAAGCUGCUUAAGUGUAAAUCUAUUACAUUAUUAGCUCCUAUUAAAAUGGAACCAAAGAAAAAGAAAAUCGAAGAUCAAGAAACUCACUCAAGAACAACUUUAGCACCAAGAGCCUUAAGCUUGUCAACAAUCUUCUCACCUUCCUCUUUAGAAACACCAGCUUUCAAAACCGAAGGAGUCUUCUCCACCAACUCCUUCGCUUCCUUAAGUCCCAGAUCAGUAAAGCUCCUCACCUCCUUAAUAAUCUUGAUCUUCCCAGACGCUUCAAAACCCUCAAGCUUUAUCUCAAACACUGUCUUCUCCACUUUCGCUUCUUCACUCGCUCCGCCACCGCCUCCGCCCUGAGCGAUCCCGCCGGCAGCGACAGCUCCGGGCUUCAUAACGGCGACGGUUGGUGUCUCCGUGAUCCCUCUCUUCUUCAGUAUAAUCGCGCCGAGCUCUGAGAUUUCCGAUAGCGUUAGAGACGAGAUCUCGUCGACGAGGCGGAACACGCGGUCCGUUGGCGGACUUCGGUGUUCUGUCGGAUCGAAUGUCGCGGCGUCGUAGUCGGUUGGGAGCUUCCUCUGAUCUAUUUCUUCUUCUUCCUCUUCAUCUUGUUUUCCCGCCGGUUGUCCGAAACUCCGGCGACCGUUGAGAAGAGAAGCGAGUGGUGAUCUGGAGGUUUGUGAUAACCUUGUUGAUAAGUGUUGUCUGAAUCUGAGGAUCAAACUCAUCUUUUUAGCGAACGAAGCUCUUCUUUUCUAUCAGAUGUAAGGUUUUUGCUGCAUUUGAGGAAGAACCCUAAAGGAGGAGGCGUUGGCGAAGUCUGACGAUCAGAUGAACGUCGAGAAGCCCAUUUAUUAUUUUAAGCCCGCUAAGUCUCCCUUUGGCCCAACUAAACUUGUCUGAGUUUGUUAAAAGGAUUUUAAUGAAUUUACCGGGUAUUGUAUCAAGUUUUGAAAAGCACUCUUAUGUUAUGUGCAGAUGUGCUAUACACAAAUGUUUCUCUUGGGUUAUCGACAAGUUCUAUUUGAAGGGGAUUCUCAGAGAUUGUCUACGCUCUUCAGAGAUUAAGCAAAUAAGUGUUUAAUAUUCAUUUGCUAAAUGGCAUACAUCUCUGGACAAUCAUAUUUCGUUCUGCCUCUUUUUCUUUUGUUCGUUGUGUUUACAAUAAUGUUGCUCAUAAUUUAAGCCAAAAAACAACCAUCUAAAUGAUGCUUCUAUAGAGAUUGUGUUCACCCACCUAUAUGGUUAACUCCAGAUUUGUAUUCUUAUAUUCAACUUUCAGUAUAAAUAAGUUUUAACUUUAUAAUAGAAAAACUGAUGCUGAAACGAUAUGUAAUAAAAAUUUCAGUAAAACAUCAUCAAUGAUCAAAAGAAGUAAAAAUAUGAUUGUCAUGUGACGCUAUCACGUUUCUAAAAUCAAUCAAAUAUAUUUGGAUUAUAUUAGAUUGCUAAUUCACACAACAAAUUUAUUAUAACCAAGUGGAAUAUACAUAUACAUAAAAUCAUGGAAAUUUUAAAAUGUUUUAAUUUUCAACUUAUAAGCACCCUUUUCAAGAAACCAAAGUGUUUUUUUUCUCCAAAAAAUUCCGAGCAAACUUUUUUUUAUGUUUCUUUGUAAGAAAGAAACAAUGUUAAAAAAAAAUUGAUAAGGGACAAUUAGGUGUUUUAUAUAGAUCUAACGACUAAGGGCCCGACUGGUUUAAACGCAGCGGUUGCGGUUGCGGGUGCGGAAGUUUGCGGAUGCGGGUGGUUGCGGUUUCAAGCGUUUUGUAUGACCGGCACAACGUUUAAAAAUUGUUGCGUUUGCGGGAUAUUUGCGACUGGUUGAUUAUAAGAUAUUGCAGCGGUUUGAUAAUAAAUUAUUAAUAUUAACAUAUUAUAACAUUAUAAAAAUAUUAAAAAUACACUUAUAAUAAAAUAUAUUAAUUAUCAACAUAAUAUGAUCAAUAAAAAUAUUAUGUUUAUUUAUUAAACUUUUAAAAUUAGUUGAAAGUUAUAAUUUUAAUAAUUUUUUUUUGAAGAUUGGUAUUAAAACUUUUAAAAUAAUAUUUUAUUUCGUUUUAUAUAUGUGUAUAUCUUUAUAUAUGUGUAAAUUUUUUUAAAAAAUUGUAAUGAAUGGUUAGUUUAAAGUUUUUAUAAAAUACGUAUAUAUUUUUAAUAAAUGUUUUUUGAAGAUUGGUAUGAUAUUUUUUGUGAAUUUAAACUAAUAUAUAUAAUACGUAUAUAUUUUUAAAAUUUUUAAUUUUAAAAUAUUUAAUUUUAAAAUUUUAAAAUAUUUUUGAAAAUAAAUUUAUAUUUAUUUAUCCACCCGCAACCGCAAACGCUAGCUGGAACCAGCUUUUGAUUUUAAAAGGUUCGAAGCGGUUUAGAGCGAUUUGUAGCAGUUUGUAUGAUUGUUUCGAAACGCUAUCAACCGGUACCAACCGCAAAAAAUGUGUUGCGUGUUGUAGCGGGAAAACCAGUUAAACCCUCAAAUGACGGUCAAAAACGCCGAUACUGAUGUAGGAAGGACGAGGCGCUGUAGUAUUUCUUAAUCCAGAUGCUUAAAUACUCUCUCUCUUCCUAAAUAUAAGAUGUUUAAAUAGAAACACACAUAUUAAAAAAAAUUACUUUUUGUCUAGAAAAUAUCAAUAAAAUUAUAAAUUAAUAAUAUUCAACCGAUUACAAAAUAAAUUAUUCAAAUAUGAUUGGAUACACAGUUUUUAAUAAAGUAAAAAUUACCUAAAAAAUAAAAAGAUAUUAUAUAUUGAAGCAUCAAAAUUAUGUAGAACAUACUAAGUUUAGGAACCGAACGAGUAUGGUUUAAACAAAAAAUAUCAACUGCUACGUGGAUACUUGGUCGCCAAUCGUCUUCAAUGCAAUAUAAAAAUUUACAAUUAGUAGUUGGAACUUCAAUUAUUUGGUAAAAAAGAUACAGUAUAUGCAUGGACCGGUUACCGGUACAUAGAUAUUUUGGGUGGAAUAUGAUGAAUGCAAUUUAAUAUUUAAAUAGUGCUUUUAUUUCCAGUUGAAACUUUAUUAUAUAUGAUCAACAGAGUUGUUGUGAAAAAAGAACGGAAUUGUUGUGACAUUUGAAAUCUUCUGUAUAUAUUUGCAGAAGUUUAAACCAACAUCUUUUUUUUCAAAAAUACAUAAACGAACUUUUUUUUUAUUUUUGUAUUACUCAGUUAUUAAUAUUUUACACUAUAUCUGCUUUAAUUGUUAAACUAUUCAGAAACUAUAUAUUUAAAAUUAAGUAAUUGUAUUCUAUAUGUCAGCAUAAGUGGUGGGGCGGUUAUAUACAUAAACUUGUGACAUUUGACAAUCCCUUUUCUCAAAAAAAAGGGAGACAUUAAUUUGCCAAUCCUUAAGCAAUAGCAAACUAUUCACAAUGGCCCCUUCUCUACUCCCUCCCUUUCACGAUGUAAUUAGUUUAGACUAAAAUCACUAAUAUUAAGAAAGUUGGUACUUUAAGAAAAAUAAUAUUUAAUUAAUUAGUUCAACCAAUUAUAAAAAAAUUAAUAUUAUUUGAUUGAUUACACUAUAUCUAAUAAAUGUAAAAGUUAUCUAGAUAUUUGGAAACUAUUUACAUUUUGAAACAAAAGAAUUUUUCUUAAACUACUUACUAUAAAAAACGGAUGGAGUAUAUAACAAGACUGUCACGUUGUCGUUAUUUCGCAUCAUUAGUCGCUCGUGAUCUUUUUAUAUACUCCCUCUGUUUUUAUUUGUAAGUAGUUUUAGUUAAAAGUGUGAAUAUUAAGAAAACUUUUAAUUUUGAAAAAAUAAAAUUUAAUACAUAAAUUUAACCAAUAAUAAAAAUGUAUGAAUUAUUUGAUUAGUCACACAACAUGUAAUAAAUGUAAAAAGUCAUUUGGAUUAUGUAAACAUCUUACAUUGUGAAACAAAUAUUUUUUUUUGCUAAAACUAUUUAUAUAUCAAAACAGAGGGAGUAGCAAAAUGUAUUUUAGUGCAGACUCACAUUUAUGUGUAUAACGCACUUUAUACAUGUACGAUAAAAAUUGUCUGAUUCCAAUUAACUUAACGCUAGCAUUUAUCAGGAUGCAGCUUAUAUAGAAAUAUUUCUAACGUAAUUUGAGUUAAUCAACAAAAGACCUAUGAAUUAAUUAUAGUUGUGAACAGUUAGUUAUUCAACUGUAGAUGUAACUGUUUGUUUCUUUUCAAAUAAUCCAAAGGAUUGUGGAAGUCUGCGAGGCGUGUGUGGAACAUGAAAGCGUCAGUUCUGAACAAAUCGAAAUGACAAGGAGAUUCUGCCAAAAACAGCAACCACACGUGUGCUGUUUGUUCAUCAUAUGUACUCAUUACUACUGUCACUAUUAUUAUUUUGUUUUUAUUACCACAACACGACAAUCCAAUUACAUAGCGAAUUAUUGGUUGAAUAAAAGCGAAAGAAUUUGAUAAAAGUUAUUAUAUACACAAAAGAAUAUAUUUAUUUCGAUAUAAAAAACAAGAAUAUGUUUCUUUCAUUGCUUAAUGGAUGGCAUACUAUGUAUCCAGGUUUACAUACCAUUUGUAUGGUUGUUGUGAAAUGUAGAAGCUGUAAAGUAGAAAGUCUGGAAAUUUACAGAAUUCAUAGUUUUUUUUUUCUUUUGUUGACUAAUUCACUGUUAAUUAUAUUGUCAUGCCAUUUGUAUAACAUAUAUUGGAGAAAAUAUAAAGGAAAGAAAUGUAGAUGGAGUGGAUGGAGAUGAGAGAUUGUAACUUGUAAGAUUGUCAGAGUCAAAUGAAAUAAGGUGGACCAACCAUGACACUCUACCUUGGAAUUCAAACUUUUAUAUAACCCAGAUUAAUUAUUUCUUUCUACUCGUACAUGUGUUCAAACUAUUCAUCUUUCUCGUUAGUGCGUUUGAAACUGAAUUUUAUUUUUAAAAGCAAAGUGUUUAAAAAAAUAUAUAUAUAUAUUUAUAUUGACAGAUGAUAUCCUCAAGGACUUUAGUGCCACAAAUUUUAGAGAGAUGAAAAAAUGUUCGUUCAUGCUAUAUAAAAGAUCGAUCGUCCUAACUAAAUACAUAUAUUUUUUUUUUGUCACACACUAAAUACAGUAUAUCGUUAAAAUGUGAUAUCUCUGUAUUUCUCAAUAUUAUUUGAAAAAUCAGUUUUUAUGUGUCGCACUCACGUUAACUCUCAUGAUGGUUGAUUACACUGAUACUCUUAAUGAAUUAAAAAAUAUUACAUAUAAAAUACUAUUAUUUAUUUUGUUAUUUAGUUUCCUUUUUAACAAUUCCGAAAACAUAUACAUAUAAUAAAAAAGAAACUUUUUGUAGAGUUAAAAAAAAUAAUUGAAAAGCGAAAAUAUAUGUAUAUAUAAUAUGAUUUUAUAAAAAGGAAAAGUUCACAAAAUAGUAAUAUUACAUUUAAAUAACAUAAAAUAUACUUUUGAAUUAAUAAAAUACUUUCUUUAUAUCCAUAUUUUCUCAGAUAAAAAAUAUAAUUUUGUAUAUAACGUGAUUUCAUCAAAAACAAUUUACACUAAUCUUGAUAUUAGAAAAAUAAAUAUUAUUUCUUUUAAAACAUAAUUUGAAACAAUACAAAAAAUCUAUAUUUUCAAAGUAAUAGAAAUAAUUUUUAUAUAUCUAUCUAUUCUCUUAAAUGAUUACAUAAACUGGUAUAUGUUUAAUUGACUAAAAAUAGUAUUAUUGAAAUGUUUUAUUUAUUUUUCAUAUAUUUAAGUGACUAUAAUAUCUUUCAAUUACAGUAAAAAAAUCCAUAAAUUAUAUUUUACUUAUAUAAUAUGAUUUUUAAAAUACAAUCAACCAAUUUUUUUAAACUGCUUAUUUCUCACUAUGAUCACCCACUCAUUUACCAAAUUAAGCACCAUCUUUGUUAUUUUAUGUAUUGUUGUUCACUAUAAAUACCAUCACUCAUCUCACUCUUUUGUACACCAUAAACAAGAACAAGAGUUUAUAAUCAAAGAACCAUUACAUCUUCUUCUUCUUCCUUAUAAUAAACUCUCUCCCUUAUACUAGUGUUAUUUGCUUCCUACGGGUAUCAAAUUCUACUCUUAUUAAAAUUUCUCGAUACUAUAAAUUAUAAGUUAUUUCUUAACAAUAACAUUAUUAUGGUAAUAGUUAUUAUCACAAGUUGUUGUUUAGACACUAUUGUUUUUUUUUUAGUAAUUUUACUUGAGGCCCGAAAACAAGCCCAUUGGGCUUUCUUGAAGAGCGCUUUAGUUCGCGAUUCUACGGUUUUCUUCCCCGACGAAGAAGAUAACGAAACACAACACACAAAGCAUGAACGGAGCUUCGCUCAGCAAUUCCCUUUUGCUCCAUUCUCGUUUCAGUUCACCGUGUUCCAUCGCUUCCUCUUCUUCUCCUUCGUCUGUUUAUCUGAGUCCUCCCUGUUUCACAACCUCUGCGUACAUCUCAUUUCCUCGAACAGUCGUUGUCAAAAGGAACGAUGGGUUUCGCUCAUUCGCCGUAAACAAACGUAGAAGCACUAUCCAAGAUGAUGUAGAAGAAGUAGAGGAUGAGGAUUGGGAUGAGUUUGAAGUAGAAGCUGAAGGAGAAGGAGACGAAGACGAAGACGAAGACGAAGGAGAGUUCUUGCCAAUGGAGAAGAUGAAGCGAUGGCUAGAGAAGAAGCCUCGCGGGUUCGGCGUUGGCAAAAAGUACGAGACUUUAAUAGAAGACAAGCUCCUCGACGAGAUUGAGCAGAGCUGGAAAGCUCAAGCUGCUAAUCUCAACCAGCUCAAGAACAACGAUCCUCUCAAGCCUCAAGAUAAUCUCAUCAAAGGUUUCGUCUUUUUUUGCUCUUUCCUCUCUCUCUCAUACUCGUUUUGACUUAAAAUCUCAGUUAGCUGCUUUUGUUGAAUGAUUGUUAUAUAGGUGAGACUCAAAGUGGGUUCCGUGUUCGUGUGACCAAUCUUCCUAAGAAGAAGAAUGUCCACAGAGAUCUCAAGGCUGCUUUUAAGGAAGUGAGUGGGGUUUUGGGGAUAGAGCCAGCUGUGUCUGGUAAUAAGAAGACUAAAGAUCCUGUCUGUAAAGGGUUUGCUCUUGUUGAUUUCAGAAGCGAGGUUGAUGCAAACAGGUAUUGUAGAUUAGCGUUUCUAUUGUUUGGUGAUGAUGAGGAUAAAGUUUUGGUUUUUUUUUGUUUCUUAGGUUUGUGGAGCAGUUCAAUGGAGAGAGAUUAUCAUUUGGGAAGGUUGUAAAGCAUAUAAAGUGUCAGGUUGUGGAGGUUUCUUCGAACCAAUCAGUUUCUGAGGAAUUACGCUCGGAUACAGUCUUUGAGGAGCUUCCUUUCCAUGGUUUUGAAGCUGUUUCUAGUGUUGAUGUUGUUGAAGAAGAUACUUUUGUGGAUUCAUGGGAAGAAGAAUCAUCAGAUGAUUCAGACAAAGAAGGAGAUGAAACAGAAGUGGAAGAAGAAGAAGAAUAUGAAGAGAAUCUUAUCUCUAGUAGCAUAGAACCUCCCAAAGAACCAAGACGUGAGUCUAAAACCAAUGUUAAGUCUCAGAAACAAGUUAUGAAGCGAGAGAUUAGAGAACACGAGGUGUUAGAGACACCUUUAGUUUCAUUCCAGGCGGUGAGUAAACCCAAGGUAGCACGUGUGGAUAAUGAUGAUGAACAUGAUAGGUCUGAUGAAGAAGAAGUUGCUGAAGAGAAUCUUGAACCUCUGAAAAGUUCAGUAUCAUCCUCAGAUGAGGAAAGGAUUGAUAGAAUCCGUAGGCUGGAGCUGAAGCUUCUAGGUAGAGAAAAGCUUUUGGGUGGAGGAGCUGGCUCUGAU